Molecule: ribosomal RNA, 297 nt
Filed under: uncultured fungus
Lineage: Eukaryota; Fungi
Description: partial 18S rRNA
Rfam family: Eukaryotic small subunit ribosomal RNA
Source: RNAcentral
UANUAUNAACNACUUUUAUACUGUGAAACUGCGAAUGGCUCAUUAAAUCAGUUAUAGUUUAUUUGAUAGUAUCUUUACUACUUGGAUAACCGUGGUAAUUCUAGAGCUAAUACAUGCUAAAAAUCCUGACUCUUGGAAGGGAUGUAUUUAUUANAUAAAAAACCAACGCGGUUUACCCCGCUUGUUUGGUGAUUCAUAAUAACUUUUCGAAUCNCAUGGCCGUGUGCCGGCGAUGUUUCAUUCAAAUUUCUGCCCUAUCAACUUUCGAUGGUANGAUAGAGGCCUACCAUGGUUUUU